CUGUCGAGCCCACAUCUCGGGGUGGCAUCGUUGCUCUGCCUGUGUCUCCAAACAUUUGCCUGCGGGUGAAGCCUGUCACCAAAAAUCAUCAGUCAGCGACUUUGACUCGCACCAUACUUGGGCUGGCACCAGCUGACAAAAGGUUGAAGUGGCUGGAGGUGCGUGACUGCGAGUUGACUGAAGCUCAGCUGCUAGAGGCGGUAGCUGUGAUACAAAGCAAGGGCCUCAGGACGCUCUUCCGUGGCAAGCAAAUCCAUGGGGGGCCCAGCAGAGUGCUGACUAUUCGAGAGAAGAAUUACGUGUUCAUUCUAACCGGUGUACCACCGCUGCUACCGCUGGCAGAAUCAAG
Long non-coding RNA from Hyalella azteca, 349 nucleotides. RefSeq lists it as uncharacterized. The transcript is spliced from 3 exons. The record is from RefSeq and is a predicted model, not a curated record. Lineage: Eukaryota; Metazoa; Arthropoda; Malacostraca; Amphipoda; Hyalellidae.